UGUCUCCUCCAACUGAUCAAAUAUUGGAUUCAGCCCGCUGCCGCAAGGAAGCGGGCUUUUUUUU
This 64-nucleotide non-coding RNA is filed under the name Herminiimonas arsenicoxydans. Its description in RNAcentral is "Betaproteobacteria toxic small RNA". It matches the Rfam family "Betaproteobacteria toxic small RNA". Rfam says of the family: Overexpression in amino aid rich medium attenuates growth, suggesting role in repressing amino acid intake and metabolism. Lineage: Bacteria; Pseudomonadati; Pseudomonadota; Betaproteobacteria; Burkholderiales; Oxalobacteraceae. The record is from Rfam by way of RNAcentral.